GACGAACGCUGGCGGCGUGCUUAACACAUGCAAGUCGAACGGAAAGGCCCUGCUUUUGUGGGGUGCUCGAGUGGCGAACGGGUGAGUAACACGUGAGUAACCUGCCCUUGACUUUGGGAUAACUUCAGGAAACUGGGGCUAAUACCGGAUAGGAGCUCCUGCUGCAUGGUGGGGGUUGGAAAGUUUCGGCGGUUGGGGAUGGACUCGCGGCUUAUCAGCUUGUUGGUGGGGUAGUGGCUUACCAAGGCUUUGACGGGUAGCCGGCCUGAGAGGGUGACCGGCCACAUUGGGACUGAGAUACGGCCCAGACUCCUACGGGAGGCAGCAGUGGGGAAUAUUGCACAAUGGGCGGAAGCCUGAUGCAGCAUCGCCGCGUGCGGGAUGACGGCCUUCGGGUUGUAAACCGCUUUCGCCUGUGACGAAGCGUGAGUGACGGUAAUGGGUAAAGAAGCACCGGCUAACUACGU
This 467-nucleotide ribosomal RNA is filed under the name uncultured bacterium. RNAcentral describes it as "partial 16S ribosomal RNA". It matches the Rfam family "Bacterial small subunit ribosomal RNA", at positions 28 to 506 of the family's 1533-position model. The record is from RNAcentral.